Molecule: ribosomal RNA, 578 nt
Filed under: uncultured bacterium
Lineage: Bacteria
Description: bacterial SSU rRNA
Rfam family: Bacterial small subunit ribosomal RNA
Source: RNAcentral
GACGAACGCUGGCGGCGUGCUUAACACAUGCAAGUCGAACGAAGUGGCGGACGGGUGAGUAACGCGUGAGGAACCUGCCUUUCAGAGGGGGACAACAGUUGGAAACGACCGCUAAUACCGCAUGCUGAAAGAUGGCCUCGCGUCUGAUUAGCUAGUUGGUGAGGUAACGGCCCACCAAGGCGACGAUCAGUAGCCGGACUGAGAGGUUGACCGGCCACAUUGGGACUGAGAUACGGCCCAGACUCCUACGGGAGGCAGCAGUGGGGAAUAUUGGGCAAUGGGCGCAAGCCUGACCCAGCAACGCCGCGUGAAGGAAGAAGGCUUUCGGGUUGUAAACUUCUUUUAAGAGGGAAGCUGUACCUCUAGAAUAAGCCACGGCUAACUACGUGCCAGCAGCCGCGGUAAUACGUAGGUGGCAAGCGUUGUCCGGAUUUACUGGGUGUAAAGGGCGUGCAGCCGGGAAUGCAAGUCAGAUGUGAAAUCCAUGGGCUUAACCCAUGAACUGCAUUUGAAACUGUAUUUCUUGAGUACUGGAGAGGCAAUCGGAAUUCCUAGUGUAGCGGUGAAAUGCGUAGAUA